RNAcentral lists this long non-coding RNA (794 nucleotides) under Mus musculus (house mouse). Its description in RNAcentral is "predicted gene 10561, transcript variant 3 (Gm10561)". The record is from RNAcentral. Lineage: Eukaryota; Metazoa; Chordata; Mammalia; Rodentia; Muridae.
GUCUCACCCAGUUGGCUGAAUGGAAAAGAGGUGUCCAGAAACGGAAUUAAAGACAAAAGUGCAACUCUGGUGUGAUUAUCUACGGAUAGAAGAUAAAGUCAGUCAAAGUGAUGCGGUUCUUUCUGUUUCUUCUGAAUGGACUGUUGUGCUGUUAUACAGUAGCAAUGGAAUCUUUGCUGGUCACUGGCACCAAUUACGGUAUUGGAGAGUUGUUUAUUAAGUAUCCACUACCUUUAUCAAGUGCCUGCCACUUCCAGGUACUUAAAAAGCACUGGAUACAAAAGAUGACUCAACAGGAACAUAUGGGACGAUAUCCUGGAUGGUUUCGAGGAUCAACUAGAACACACAGACUGACUACGCCGUGGACGUUUGUUUCACCUUCUGUAGUUCCUGUAGAGAACGCCAUCAGUCUAUCUUCUAAAUCAUCCCAAAAAGCAUAUCCAACUCACCACAAGUCUUUACACACCAUGCAGAAGUCAAAAGGAAUGAACAAUAUGGUUGAAUCUUAGGAAGAAAAUGUUGAAUUAGAAAGUGACAACUGCCCUGCUCUUCUGCUACCUGCUGAGAAGCUGAACCCGUUUUCCUGAGAAUUUCCGGAAUAAGCGGCCAGCCUGGCCACCGAGUGCUGACGAAAUGGCUCCAGGCACCAAGUGUGGAGCCGGCAGACUAGUGCUAACAACUUGGCAACAAUACAUCAAGAAGCCUGGCGGGGGUGGGUGGGGGGGGUGGGGGGGCGAUGGGCCUUCCCCCUUAUAAGCACGGUCUCUUAAUAAACUCGUGGGCCUUGAUCAGGA